This 514-nucleotide ribosomal RNA is filed under the name Trigonopterus enam. Its description in RNAcentral is "partial 16S ribosomal RNA". Lineage: Eukaryota; Metazoa; Arthropoda; Insecta; Coleoptera; Curculionidae. The record is from RNAcentral.
CGACCUGGCUUACACCGGUUUAAACUCAGAUCAUGUAAAAUUUUAAAGGUCGAACAGACCUAAUUUACCAGCUACUGCACCAGUAAUUAAUUUUAAUCCAACAUCGAGGUCGCAAUCUAUUCUUUCGAUAUGAACUCUAAGAAAAAUUACGCUGUUAUCCCUAAGGUAAUUUAUUCUUAUAAUCUAAAUUAUAGGAUCAUAAACUUACAUAUUAGUAUAAAAAUAAAGAAAAGUUAAAUUAAUUUUCCCAUCACCCCAAUAAAAUAAAUAAAAAAUAAUAAAGUCACAACAUACUUAAACACCAUAUUAAACUUAUUUAUAAAACUCUAUAGGGUCUUCUCGACUUCUAUAAGCAUUUAAGCUUUUUCACUUAAAAAUAAAAUUCUAAUAAACUUUUCCAGAGACAGCCAUUUUUUCAUCAAACCCUUCAUACAAGCWUUCAAUUAAAAAACUAGUGAUUAUGCUACCWUUGCACGGUCAAAAUACCGCGGCCAUUUAAUCCAUCCAGUGGGCC